Molecule: long non-coding RNA, 3636 nt
Filed under: Sus scrofa (pig)
Lineage: Eukaryota; Metazoa; Chordata; Mammalia; Artiodactyla; Suidae
Description: lncRNA (ENSSSCG00000059308.1)
Source: RNAcentral
AGAAACUUUCUUUGGUAGAGGCUAUGGUUCCGAUUGGCAAUGUGGUUGAAAUAUUUAGCAUAGUUACCCAAAAUCUGAUCUUUUUUUGUGACCUUGAGUAUUACAUGACUUUACCAGGUGAUAGGAAUCCUAUGAAACUUAACCCAAAGCCACCUACUGACUGCCCUCUCUACUCCCAUUUUAACAAAUCUAAAAUACCAACUCCUUGCUAUGACCUGACCCUUUCACAUGAUGGAGCCUCUGUCUGACACUCAAUGCAUCCCAUGUUCUCUGCCCUACUCACUGUGCUCCUGCCUCUUGGGUUCCCCCCACCCCCAGGUGUUUCCUGUCUCAGGGCCUUUGCACUUGCUCUUCAUUCUGCUUGGAACUCUUCCCUAGAUCAUCACACAAGGAGAACCUCCUUUUCACCCUUUGGUUCUCAACUAAAACAUCACCUUCCUUGGAGAGGGCUUCUCAUGGUCCCCACCCCUUCCUAACAUUUAUCAUCAACUAAAAUUGUCUGGUAUAUAUGCUUGUUCAUUCUCCACCUCCUCUAUUAGAAGAUACUCUCUAGAAGGGCAGGGAACGUCUCUGGCUCAUCCUCUGCUGAGACAUCAGAAUCUAGAGCAUUAUUUAGGAUCAUAGUUGCUCAAUACAUUUCUGAACAAGUGUAGGGAUGAACAGGAAGGCUUGUGGGCAAAGUUUGUGCAAGAUUUUUUCUAUAGUAAAAGAGAAAAAUAUUUUUCUAUAGUAAAUAACCCUCUUCAGUUAUUUACUACUAUACUGUUUCCUGAGCAAAAAGCAAAAAGGAGACAGUCUAGCCAGGUAUACGCCCACGGUGCCUAACAGAGGCCUCUGCAUCAUCUACUCUUUCCUAGACUCCUGCCCCACCCAUUUCUGACUCCACCCUUCCUCCUGACAGCCCAGGGCAGUGGGAGACCUCAGCAGGCUUUCUUUUUCCCUGUUGUCUGGGGCCACCCUGACCCUACUAUAGGUCCAUGGAUACAUGCCAAUCAGGAACUGCAUGUGUAUCAAGUACAACCUGGAAUAAGAAAGAGCACUAUUAAUAGAUGCAAACUAUUGCCUUUGGAAUGGAUCAGCAAUGAGAUCCUGCUGUGUAGCACUGGGAACUAUGUCUAGUCACUUAGGAUGGAGCAUGAUAAUGUAAGAAAAAGGAAUGUAUAUGUGUAUGUGUGACGGGGUCACCUUGCUGCACAGUAGAAAACUGACAGAACAUUGUAAACCAGCUAUGAUGAAAAAAAUAAAAAUCAUUUAAAAAAUAAAAAUAAAGAGGACUAACCAGAGCUUAGUAUCGCUGGACUUCUCCCCGUCUCACUGUCCUUUGUGCAUGUACAGACGUGGGCCAGGCCCUUUACUCAUGCUGGGGAUGUAAAGCUUCCUGACGGGUAUCUUUGGAUGCAAACAAACGCCAAAGGCAGAGUUUGCAAAGAGAUUUAUAUUUGCAUCUGUCAGAAUGGUCACUUGCCAAGUGAUGUUUGCAUUCCAUAAUUCCGCCCCUUCACAUCUAAAUCCAUUACACCCACUGUGGGCUGGGUGGCUGAGGACUCAGCACUUGAUCUUAGCCAAAAGACUGAGAAACGAUGGCUGAGGACUCAGAGAACCACUGACACUGAUCAAAUCCAGGGGUCUAAAUCCCUUAGAAAUUGUAAGGCCUUUGUCCGGGACCAUCAGAGCUGUUCUGCCAGAAUCUGAGAAAUACUUUAGGGGCCCUUCGUACAGCCCGUUGGCCCAGCAGGAGCAUCGUGUCCAUACAGUCCUGAAGAUGGAUUGCCUGUUCAUCCAGCCAAUGAAGCUUUAUUAUGCAUUUGUCUGGUCGAGAAGAGAUAAAAAGCGUGGAUCAGACAGAGUGAAAUGUGGCCAACGUUUGGCAAGGGCUUUCCAGGGAAAAUAAAAGGUCUUAACAAAGAGUGGCUUGCAGGUUCAGAUCUCCUAGGAGAGAGAAUUUGGUGUCCAUAAUCGGACGUCUUCUAUCAAGUAUUAGGUUCACAAAGUGGGCAGGCCACUUUCUGGAAGCCCAGCCCCUGAGGACAGGGAGUCACUGUGUUCACCGUUGGUGGGGCUGCCCCAGGGGACUGGGGCGACCUGAAGACCAGACCUGGCCGAAGCCCAGCAUGUCGGAGAGCAAUGAGCUCUCCCAGAAAAGGGGAGGGCCAAGCCCCUGAGAGUCUGGAAACACAAAGGGGCCACUGUCGUUGCUGACGAGGACAAGAAACCCCCUGCAGCCUCCUGCUUUUACUCCAACAUUGAGCAGUAAACUCAUCUCUAUGCCUUUACUAGUAAAAAUCUGGCCAGUUUCAGAAUCAGAUAACAUGAGUUCGGAUGCAUUUGAAAGUCAGGAGAUAAAUGGGAAAGGACAAAGGUGUAGUUACAUCAAGAAGGCUACCUGGGCUGGGAAUUUGGUGGUUUUGAGGGGGAUUCAGUUCUUCAUUUCCUGGCACGUCAAUGUUUAUCUCUUUUCCUUUGUGGGGGAGGGUGAGGAUGCGGGGGUGUUACAGUGACUCAUUUGCACACUGGGUCAGGCAGUCCUUUCGGGAUUGUGAUAACCAUUUAGAAACAAGGUGAAGGCAAUCUGAAGCCAAUUUUGCCAAUCGAACUAUAGUGUUUCGCUCAUAAGGUGUUUUUCUAAAUUAAAUCAAAUCAGUACACAUUUGCCAAGCACCUGCCUGUCAAGUGAGAGGCUAAUGCACAAUAAUGAACGGGGUUUGAAAUGCAAGGAAAUGAAAAGCGAACCAGCAGCCUAGAGAUUAUGGUUAAUCUUUUCCGAAUUGUCUCCACCGAGUUAGAGACGGUAAGUGAUCUAACUUACUAACAGUCAAAAAGGAGACUUUUCCUGGGAAAGCUCCCUCAAGAUAGCCAAAACACAUAUUUUGAUUUGGGAGAAAACAGAAGUUAAAAUGAAUGAAAAAACUGACCUUCACAUUCAGAUGCUAGGUAAGUCAAAUAACCUCAAGAAAAGUCCUGAACAUUUGCUAUGUGGUAGGUACGGGUUUUAUGAAAUUAAAAACCUGUGGCUGGCAUUCAUGAGCGCAAAUGUAAAUAUAUAUUAUUCUGUGAAAAAUAGGCAUUACACUGUGCAAAAAAAAAAGUUCAUUUGUCCUCAAACCUCUUUUUUGUUGUUGUUAUUGUUGUUUAGGGAUGCUAGAUGGAGAGAAAUUUAAAAAUUGUUGUAUCUGAAGUCCAUGAGUUUGUCAGUCUGUCAUGGGUCUUUGUGCAUCAAAUGAAGAAAUGUGGACAGAGUGAUGGUAUAGCAGGUGGAUUUAUAUGGUUGAUUGUCAAUACCCUAGCAGCAGUGAUGAAUUAAUUGAUGGCUGCUGCAUCCUAGAAGGUUCUUGAAGGCACCAAAGCUAUUGGGCUAAUUGAAAUACCACAUACCAUUGUUUUGGCGUUGUAUGGACUUCACCCCACCAACACUAGUUAAGAAAAGCAGGAAAGGAUAUUGGGAGUGCAUGUAAUUCACUGACUCCUCCAGUUUCGUUAAAUUCUGUCCUUCAAUCAGAUUAGGCCACCAGAAGUCCAGGCAUGCGGUCUUCUAGUGGCUCCUGGGGCACACUGAAUUAGCUUCUCAAAAAAUGGCCUUCACUGGCCCCAGAGGACUCUGGGAGGCAAGGCUUCCAGUUAAAAAAAAAAAAAAAAAAA